RNAcentral lists this unclassified non-coding RNA (306 nucleotides) under plant metagenome. RNAcentral's name for it is "partial contains 5.8S ribosomal RNA, internal transcribed spacer 2, and large subunit ribosomal RNA". The stretch from base 1 to 105 matches the Rfam family "5.8S ribosomal RNA", at positions 50 to 154 of the family's 154-position model. The record is from RNAcentral.
GAAAUGCAAUAAGUAGUGUAAAUUAUAGAAUUUAGUAAAUCAUCAAAUCUUUAAACGCACAUUACGCCCCUUAGUAUUCUAUAGGGCAUACCUAUUCGAGCGUCAUCUACACCCUUAAGCUCUGCUUAGUGUUGGGCGUCUAUCCCGCCUUUGCGCGUGGACUCGCCCUAAAUGCAUUGGCAGUGGUCCUUGCCCCCUCCCGCGCAGCACAUUACGCUUCUCGAGGCUGCGGCGGCCCGCGUCUAAUAAGCUAAACCCCCCUGUCUUUGACCUCGGAUUAGAUAGGGAUACCCGCUAAACUUAAGC